UACGAAGGGGGCUAGCGUUGUUCGGAUUUACUGGGCGUAAAGCGCACGUAGGCGGAUCGUUAAGUCGGGGGUGAAAUCCUGGAGCUUAACUGCAGAACUGCCAUUGAUACUGUCGAUCUUGAGUACAUUUGAUGAGGGCGGAAUGUGUCAUGUAGCGGUGAAAUGCUUAGAGAUGUGGAGGAACACCAAUGGCGAAGGCAGCCUUCUGGGCCAACACUGACGCUCAUGCACGAAAGCGUGGGGAGCAAACAGG
This 253-nucleotide ribosomal RNA is filed under the name uncultured bacterium. RNAcentral's name for it is "partial 16S ribosomal RNA". It matches the Rfam family "Bacterial small subunit ribosomal RNA", at positions 524 to 776 of the family's 1533-position model. The record is from RNAcentral.